Molecule: ribosomal RNA, 652 nt
Filed under: Vermamoeba vermiformis
Lineage: Eukaryota; Tubulinea; Echinamoebida; Vermamoebidae
Description: SSU rRNA
Rfam family: Eukaryotic small subunit ribosomal RNA
Source: RNAcentral
ACUAUAUUAAAGUUGUUGCAGUUAAAAAGCUCGUAGUUGGAUUUCGGAAGGUCCUUAGCAGUCCGCCCCUUCGGGGAGCGGGUUGCUGGCCUCCUAUGUUCCUAACGGUCCUCAUCCGCGAGGGUGGGGAAUCAACCGCUAGGAUCGUUUACUUUGAGGAAAUUAGAGUGUUCAAAGCAGGCGUAACUCGCCUCCGAAUACGUUAGCAUGGGAUAAUGGAAUACGACUUCGGUCUUGUUUCGUUGGUUUCGCUUGGCUGAAGUAAUGAUUGAUAGGGACAGUUGGGGGCAUUAGUAUUUAGUUGUCAGAGGUGAAAUUCUAGGAUUUACUAAAGACUGACCAAUGCGAAAGCAUUUGCCAAGGAUGUUUUCAUUAAUCAAGAACGAAAGUAGGGGGAUCGAAGACGAUCAGAUACCGUCGUAGUCUCUACCGUAAACUAUGCCGACCAGGGAUCCGGAGAGUUUGCAUGGAUGACUCCCCGGGCACCUUGUGAGAAAUCAUAAGUGUUUGGGUUUUGGGGGGAGUAUGGUCGCAAGGCUGAAACUUAAAGGAAUUGACGGAAGGGCACCACCAGGAGUGGAACCUGCGGCUUAAUUUGACUCAACACGGGGAAACUUACGAGGUCAGGACACUGUGAGGAUUGACAGAUUGA